RNAcentral lists this small RNA (127 nucleotides) under Marmota monax (woodchuck). Lineage: Eukaryota; Metazoa; Chordata; Mammalia; Rodentia; Sciuridae. The record is from RNAcentral.
GCCAGGCAUGGUGGUGCAUGCCUGUAAUCCUAACAGCUCAGGAGGCUGAGGUAGGAGGAUUGCAGGUUCAAAGCCAGUUUCAGUAACUUAGUGAAGUUGUUAGCAACCUACUGAGACUGUGUCUCAA